RNAcentral lists this ribosomal RNA (438 nucleotides) under uncultured bacterium. RNAcentral's name for it is "bacterial SSU rRNA". It matches the Rfam family "Bacterial small subunit ribosomal RNA", at positions 338 to 768 of the family's 1533-position model. The record is from RNAcentral.
CCUACGGGGGGCAGCAGCUAAGAAUAUUCCGCAAUGGACGAAAGUCUGACGGAGCGACGCCGCGUGGAUGAAGAAGGCCGAAAGGUUGUAAAGUUCUUUUGCUAGGGGAGAAUAAGUGAGGGAGGGAAUGCCCUCAUGAUGACAAGGACUAGCGAAUAAGCCCCGGCCAACUACGUGCCAGCAGCCGCGGUAACACGUAGGGGGCGAGCGUUGUUCGGAAUUACUGGGCGUAAAGGGCAUGUAGGCGGCUUGGUAAGCCUGGCGUGAAAGACUGCAGCUUAACUGUAGGGAUGCGUUGGGAACUGCUUAGCUUGAGUUACGGAGAGGGAGCUGGAAUUCCUGGUGUAGGGGUGAAAUCUGUAGAUAUCAGGAAGAACACCGAUGGCGAAGGCAAGCUUCUGGUCGAUAACUGACGCUGAGGUGCGAAAGUGUGGGGAU